RNAcentral lists this ribosomal RNA (497 nucleotides) under uncultured bacterium. Its description in RNAcentral is "partial 16S ribosomal RNA". It matches the Rfam family "Bacterial small subunit ribosomal RNA", at positions 28 to 507 of the family's 1533-position model. The record is from RNAcentral.
GAUGAACGCUGGCGGCGUGCCUAAUACAUGCAAGUCGAGCGAACAGACGAGGAGCUUGCUCCUCUGACGUUAGCGGCGGACGGGUGAGUAACACGUGGAUAACCUACCUAUAAGACUGGGAUAACUUCGGGAAACCGGAGCUAAUACUGGAUAAUAUAUUGAACCGCAUGGUUCAAUAGUGAAAGACGGUUUUGCUGUCACUUAUAGAUGGAUCCGCGCCGCGUUAGCUAGUUGGUAAGGUAACGGCUUACCAAGGCAACGAUGCGUAGCCGACCUGAGAGGGUGAUCGGCCACACUGGAACUGAGACACGGUCCAGACUCCUACGGGAGGCAGCAGUAGGGAAUCUUCCGCAAUGGGCGAAAGCCUGACGGAGCAACGCCGCGUGAGUGAUGAAGGUCUUCGGAUCGUAAAACUCUGUUAUUAGGGAAGAACAAAUGUGUAAGUAACUAUGCACGUCUUGACGGUACCUAAUCAGAAAGCCACGGCUAACUACGUG